This 483-nucleotide ribosomal RNA is filed under the name uncultured bacterium. Its description in RNAcentral is "partial 16S ribosomal RNA". It matches the Rfam family "Bacterial small subunit ribosomal RNA", at positions 30 to 507 of the family's 1533-position model. The record is from RNAcentral.
UUGAACGCUGGCGGCAGGCCUAACACCUGCAAGUCGAGCGGAUGAAGGGAGCUUGCUCCUGGAUUCAGCGGCGGACGGGUGAGUAAUGCCUAGGAAUCUGCCUGGUAGUGGGGGAUAACGUCCGGAAACGGGCGCUAAUACCGCAUACGUCCUGAGGGAGAAAGUGGGGGAUCUUCGGACCUCACGCUAUCAGAUGAGCCUAGGUCGGAUUAGCUAGUUGGUGGGGUAAAGGCCUACCAAGGCGACGAUCCGUAACUGGUCUGAGAGGAUGAUCAGUCACACUGGAACGGAGACACGGUCCAGACUCCUACGGGAGGCAGCAGUGGGGAAUAUUGGACAAUGGGCGAAAGCCUGAUCCAGCCAUGCCGCGUGUGUGAAGAAGGUCUUCGGAUUGUAAAGCACUUUAAGUUGGGAGGAAGGGCAGUAAGUUAAUACCUUGCUGUUUUGACGUUACCAACAGAAUAAGCACCGGCUAACUUCGUG